Molecule: ribosomal RNA, 484 nt
Filed under: uncultured bacterium
Lineage: Bacteria
Description: partial 16S ribosomal RNA
Rfam family: Bacterial small subunit ribosomal RNA
Source: RNAcentral
GACGAACGCUGGCGGCGUGCUCAACACAUGCAAGUCGAACGAUGAAGCCGGAGCUUGCUCUGGUGAAUUAGUGGCGAACGGGUGAGUAACACGUGAGUAACCUGCCCUUGACUCUGGGAUAACUGCGGGAAACUGUAGCUAAUACCGGAUACGACCCUCGGGGGCAUCUCCUGGGGGUGGAAAGAAUUUCGGUAAAGGAUGGACUCGCGGCCUAUCAGCUAGUUGGUGAGGUAAAGGCUCACCAAGGCGACGACGGGUAGCCGGCCUGAGAGGGUGACCGGCCACACUGGGACUGAGACACGGCCCAGACUCCUACGGGAGGCAGCAGUGGGGAAUAUUGCACAAUGGGCGCAAGCCUGAUGCAGCAACGCCGCGUGAGGGAUGACGGCCUUCGGGUUGUAAACCUCUUUUAGCAGGGAAGAAGCGAAAGUGACGGUACCUGCAGAAAAAGCACCGGCUAACUACGUGCCAGCAGCCGCGGUAA